Molecule: ribosomal RNA, 463 nt
Filed under: Vreelandella stevensii
Lineage: Bacteria; Pseudomonadati; Pseudomonadota; Gammaproteobacteria; Oceanospirillales; Halomonadaceae
Description: partial 16S ribosomal RNA
Rfam family: Bacterial small subunit ribosomal RNA
Source: RNAcentral
CCUGGGUGGCAGCAGUGGGGAAUAUUGGACAAUGGGCGAAAGCCUGAUCCAGCCAUGCCGCGUGUGUGAAGAAGGCCUUCGGGUUGUAAAGCACUUUCAGUGGGGAAGAAAGCCUUGGGGCUAAUACCCUCGAGGAAGGACAUCACCCACAGAAGAAGCACCGGCUAACUCCGUGCCAGCAGCCGCGGUAAUACGGAGGGUGCGAGCGUUAAUCGGAAUUACUGGGCGUAAAGCGCGCGUAGGCGGUCUGAUAAGCCGGUUGUGAAAGCCCCGGGCUCAACCUGGGAACGGCAUCCGGAACUGUCAGGCUAGAGUGCAGGAGAGGAAGGUAGAAUUCCCGGUGUAGCGGUGAAAUGCGUAGAGAUCGGGAGGAAUACCAGUGGCGAAGGCGGCCUUCUGGACUGACACUGACGCUGAGGUGCGAAAGCGUGGGUAGCAAACAGGAUUAGAUACCCCUGUAGUC